UGGAUUGGACUCUGGAAACUGAAGCUUCCUAUUUACUACAGAACAGGUAGAGCAUAUACAGUGUAAGCUUCCUUCACUCCCCUAUCUAUGUGUUUCAAAUGUGACCUGGAAAGACCACUGUAUGAACUGAGAGAAUAGCUCAGUCUCUCUCACCCAUUCCGUUCUUACGUUUCU
This 174-nucleotide small RNA is filed under the name Gopherus agassizii (Agassiz's desert tortoise). RNAcentral describes it as "TUC338 (ENSGAGG00000016971.1)". Lineage: Eukaryota; Metazoa; Chordata; Testudines; Testudinidae. The record is from RNAcentral.